Molecule: long non-coding RNA, 550 nt
Organism: Beta vulgaris subsp. vulgaris (sugar beet)
Lineage: Eukaryota; Viridiplantae; Streptophyta; Magnoliopsida; Caryophyllales; Amaranthaceae
Exons: 3
Source: RefSeq, a predicted model, not a curated record
UUUUAGGUGCGGAAGUUCCCGUCAUAGAGCUUGCCAACUGCAUUUGUGCUGGCCAAAUGGGUGAAUAGUAUAUCCCAAGCCAAUUGGACCCACAAAUGAGAUGGUUCAAGAAUUCGCUCGCUUUUUGGGAACAGUGUUAAAAAAUCCUUAAGCAGAAUGAUGAACAAGAAUUAUCUUCUGAGACACACUUGUUAAAUCAAGUACAUCAAGGAGAAGAAAAUGUAUCACAAGAAGAACAAUUGCAGUAGCACGAAUGACAAUUUUUGGGCGUUGGAUCUCGCUUAAAAGUGGAGCAUGGUUUUGGAAUUAAUUAGGCAACUAGCUAGUAAUCUUAUUUAAUGGACAUAUAUUUACGCUAGAAGUAGAUAUAUUUUGGUGCAUAUAUAUUAGGUUGGAAGUAAAUAUAUUAGGUGAUGAAACUUUUCUUGGGAUUUGAUAUAUAUGCGAUAGUACUAUAUUAAGUACUUGGUGUUGGAAAUUGUCGAACGAUUGGAUGACCUUGAAUAUAUAUAUGGGUCUUUUUGGAAAUCUAAAUUUUUAUCAUUGUGUU